GAUGAACGCUAGCUACAGGCUUAACACAUGCAAGUCGAGGGGCAGCAUGGUCUUAGCUUGCUAAGGCCGAUGGCGACCGGCGCACGGGUGAGUAACACGUAUCCAACCUGCCGUCUACUCUUGGACAGCCUUCUGAAAGGAAGAUUAAUACAAGAUGGCAUCAUGAGUCCGCAUGUUCACAUGAUUAAAGGUAUUCCGGUAGACGAUGGGGAUGCGUUCCAUUAGAUAGUAGGCGGGGUAACGGCCCACCUAGUCUUCGAUGGAUAGGGGUUCUGAGAGGAAGGUCCCCCACAUUGGAACUGAGACACGGUCCAAACUCCUACGGGAGGCAGCAGUGAGGAAUAUUGGUCAAUGGGCGAGAGCCUGAACCAGCCAAGUAGCGUGAAGGAUGACUGCCCUAUGGGUUGUAAACUUCUUUUAUAAAGGAAUAAAGUCGGGUAUGCAUACCCGUUUGCAUGUACUUUAUGAAUAAGGAUCGGCUAACUCCGUGCCAGCAGCCGCGGUAAUACGGAGGAUCCGAGCGUUAUCCGGAUUUAUUGGGUUUAAAGGGAGCGUAGAUGGAUGUUUAAGUCAGUUGUGAAAGUUUGCGGCUCAACCGUAAAAUUGCAGUUGAUACUGGAUAUCUUGAGUGCAGUUGAGGCAGGCGGAAUUCGUGGUGUAGCGGUGAAAUGCUUAGAUAUCACGAAGAACUCCGAUUGCGAAGGCAGCCUGCUAAGCUGCAACUGACAUUGAGGCUCGAAAGUGUGGGUAUCAAACAGGAUUAGAUACCCUGGUAGUCCACACGGUAAACGAUGAAUACUCGCUGUUUGCGAUAUACAGCAAGCGGCCAAGCGAAAGCGUUAAGUAUUCCACCUGGGGAGUACGCCGGCAACGGUGAAACUCAAAGGAAUUGACGGGGGCCCGCACAAGCGGAGGAACAUGUGGUUUAAUUCGAUGAUACGCGAGGAACCUUACCCGGGCUUAAAUUGCAGAUGAAUUACGGUGAAAGCCGUAAGCCGCAAGGCAUCUGUGAAGGUGCUGCAUGGUUGUCGUCAGCUCGUGCCGUGAGGUGUCGGCUUAAGUGCCAUAACGAGCGCAACCCUUGUUGUCAGUUACUAACAGGUUCCGCUGAGGACUCUGACAAGACUGCCAUCGUAAGAUGUGAGGAAGGUGGGGAUGACGUCAAAUCAGCACGGCCCUUACGUCCGGGGCUACACACGUGUUACAAUGGGGGGUACAGAGGGCCGCUACCACGCGAGUGGAUGCCAAUCCCAAAAACCUCUCUCAGUUCGGACUGGAGUCUGCAACCCGACUCCACGAAGCUGGAUUCGCUAGUAAUCGCGCAUCAGCCACGGCGCGGUGAAUACGUUCCCGGGCCUUGUACACACCGCCCGUCAAGCCAUGGGAGCCGGGGGUACCUGAAGUGCGUAACCGCGAGGAG
Molecule: ribosomal RNA, 1420 nt
Filed under: uncultured organism
Description: 16S ribosomal RNA
Rfam family: Bacterial small subunit ribosomal RNA
Source: RNAcentral